GCAUGCUUAUCAGUUUGCCCUUCUCAAACUCACUUUGUUCAUUUGUCCAUUCACUCAAACUUUUCUUGAGAAUCUACUGUGUGCUCAGCACUGACUCUGAGAGCUGUCAAUAAGGAUAGCUCAAAAGAUAGGUUCUAUUGUCAGAUAAGUUUUAGAUACACUCUCCGUGGCAUUGCGUUUCUUUGAACUAUAAUAAGCAUCUUCUGUUUAUCAGGUAGUACCCAUUCUUCUAUAUUACUACAUCUGAGAAAUCCUUUAUUUUAUUCAUAUUUUCCAUAAUUAUUGGAAUUCUUUUUUUCUCCAAGCCCUCUUUCCAUUAUGAAACCGAGUAAUAACACUAGAAUCCUAGAGCAAUGGUUGAAAGAUUAGCUUUGGCAAAUACUGGUGUAAUACGGAGACAGAAUAACAGUUAGAACUAAUCUUGUUACAUAAAUUUCUAAUGGUAAUGCUGAUAGACUGAUAAACCAGAGAACAUUAGUAGGAAUCAAGUGCAUUAUACUUCUUAAACAUGGAUUCCUCAAAGAAUCAAGGUUCUGGAUAUGCCAAGUUUAAAGUCUGGAACCUUUCACUAAUGGGCACAAAACUAAUAAUGUAAACAUUAAUGAUUUAAGUAUUAAAAAUUUAAUUAUUAAUUUAAUUAAAAUAUUAACUACUUUAAAUUUUUAAAAAUAUAAAUCGACCAAUUGAUUCAAUCAGGUAGACUGGAAGGUAAAUUUAUUUCUUCAAAAAGAUCGAUGUGGUGUUUUCUGCUAAGACCUAAUGGCUUUCUUUCAACAAUAUAUCAGACUCUUAAAAAUGCAGAGAUUUGUUAAAUUUUUAGAAUUGAACUUCAGGAAAUUUAUAAUAAAAUUUCAAAACUAGCUAGCCAACAGUUCUAAACAGAUUAAGAUGACAGGAUAUUCCCCAUCUUUUAUUUUUAAAGUUUAAAGUUUUAUUUUUAUUUUUGUUAAGAGUUAAUAUUACAACGAAAUAUAUCUUCUUUGAGUGUCACUUCUCAGGUGCUCAGGAUAAGUGGCAGUCUGAGCUGUCAAUUCAAUUUCUGUUGCUAUCUAGGCUGAAAGGAAAUACAAAUACAUACACAGCAGAAGGUAACAGCAACAAUUAUAUUCCACAGAUCUGUGUAAUUUAUGAAGAAAAGAGGAAUCCAGUUCAGGAAAUGCAUGAAUCUCCUAAAAAAAUCUUCACCAUAGAACUAUUACUAUUAUCUUUCUGAUAUUAUAUUGAAAAUGAAACACAUUCACCAAUUCUCCAAAGGCAAUUUCUCUUCACCUCAAAUAAAUCUCCCUUAUAGGCCAUAUAAAUAGAAUUAAACUGUCACAUAAUGUUUCCAUUUGUUUUCCUGCAGAAUAAACUCAUUACAACCAGCCCAUUAGAAGAUGAUAUUAAAGGAUUUAAUUGCCUGUGCAUAUUAAAUAUGUUUAAAAUUUAUGAAAAUAAACAUUUUCAAAUUGAGUAAAUACACUGCAAUGAUAGAAAUGGGAAUGUGGAUUUAAUGCAAAUUCUUACGGUAAUGCGGAUCCAUAGCACUACCAUGGACUGGAUGUGCCUCCUUGGAGCAUGUAUAGAUGUUCCAGGCCAGAAUCUAAGCCACACAAGGGCAGAAAUCCAUUUGGAGGCACAUGUGGAAUUGCUAAUAGAUUAUAAAUGGCAAUUUAGUCUAUGCAGGCAAUAUCUUUGGAUGAAAUAUUGCAUUUAUGAUAAUCAGGGGAGACUUACAACAAUUAACAUGGUUGGUGUUUUCCAGGGCUGGCCACUGAGCUCAAGGGAGUGUGUGUAUUUGACCUUGUGUCCCUUACACUUUCCGAAUAGCAUGGUUCAUAGUUUCCUGAUGGACAGCUGCCAAUUAUUAAAAGAGAAGCAGGAUGGAACAGUCCAACUUUCGGGGGGCAGAGGAGGAGUUCAGUUGUUCCAGGCCUGUUUCCCCACCACCCUGGCAGAUGGUUCAACAGCCAGGUUGCAGUGGCUUGAAGGCAGAAAGAAAGAUUUCUCCCUUAAUCUUUUCAAAAUCGCCAACAAAAGUCAAGUCAAAUUCUUUUAAAAAAGAAAAGAGCAGCUCGGUAUAUAACUUUCUAUGCCUUUCCUGGAGGUUUUGUUUUAUUAAUUUUUUGUACCUUUUGAGUCAUUCACUGCGAUGUGGAAUUUCUUCCCUCUUCUCACUUUGCUCCAAGGACAUACAAUUACUGAAAGCUUUUUACUAAAAGAAAAUUACUGCUACAAGUAGUGGAAAGGCAGAAGGAGAUCAUAUUCCAGAUUGAACCCUCUGGAAAAGAGGAUGCUUUUUAAAGAUUCCACUAAAUGUGAUUUUUGGAAGGCUCAGCAUAGGCAGUGUAUACCACAAUUUAGCCCAUAUACCACAAUUUGCCGGCUCACCUACCCAAGAGAAGGGGAGUGGCUCCCCAGAGGGAUCCCCGCCAGCACACAGGGCGGUUGGCUGGCAUUUGGAGAGCUGACAGGGGGAGACUUCAGCAACAGUCAUUUCCAUUCCUUUUCCAUCACCUUGAUUGUCAGGAAGAUAGCAUAUGGGAAAUACAUAGUGCUCUGUUUAUCCUGUGGCUUCUGCGUUUUACAGGAUUCCCACACAGAAAAGAAAAGUGUAGGAAAAUAUCUUGCCAGCUGUAAAGCACGAUGCAAAUGGACGCUGUUAGGAUUGUUAUAGGCCCAUUUUUUUUCCUCAUGAAAUCCCAGGACAGACAAGUAUGAACACUCCCUCCUCGUAUACAGGAGUAGUAAGACAAGACUAGACUAUGAUGGCGCAUCACUGUCUUUUAGCAAAAGGAAGGAGCAACCAGAAAGAGAACAUCUUAGAUCCAGGAAAUGGGAAACAACACUGAAGAAGCAAGAGGGGAAACAAAAACAAGAAUGGAAACAAAAGAAUGGCCAGGAAAAGAGCUGACAAAUUGGUAGGAGGAGCAACCAGGGCAGCGAAAGGAGAAUGAUCCUUCUAAGUGACACUUCCAAGAAAUAACAUAGAUUGCUAGAAAAGCUGUGAUAGGGUUCAGCUCAUGGCAAGUUAUGCUAAGAGGGUCAUCAACAGAUGGAUGAAUAAAGAAACAGUGAUGCAUAUAUACAGUGGAGUACUACACAGCUGUGCAAAAGGAUACACCUGAGCUUUGAGUCCAUAAUGCUAAGUGAAAUAAGUCAGACACAGAAGGCUAAAUAUGUAUGGUUUCUCUUAUAUGAGAAACCCCAACUAUAAAUAACCUAAAGAACAAAACAAAAGAUAGAUGAUGGGAAACAAGGAGGAAGACUGUGGACAUGGGAAUAAGAUUUGGGGAUAGCAGGAGGGAGGAGGGAAGAGGGAAAUAAAAGUAACAAAGAUGCAAUAUGUAUGCAAGGACCAGUCCCCUAUGAUGAAUGCAAUUAUUACAGAUUGCAAACAUAGACUAAUUCGAAAGAAACUUUAAAAAUCCUUGAGUUUGUGAAGGAAGGGGAAAAUUAGCACAGGUAAAAAAGAAGAUUAAAUAACUGAAAAAAAAACUUCAAAGGAAUCAACAACUUUAGGAACACAUAAAAGUUAGAGGAAAUAUAAUAAUUAUACUCCAUGUGACUCUGAAAAUAUCCGAAUGUUAUAUGAUAAUAUAAGUAAUAAACAUUAUACUGUUUGAAAGAGAGGAGAAAGAUAAAAUAUUACAAAGCUCUAAAUCAUCAUCCACAUAAACAGAAGGAGAAGAAACAAUGUCUGAAAUGAAUGCACCAAAAGACAGCAGUGUCCACCUUAUUUAGAAGUAUGCAGAUGGGAAAAUAUUUGCUGAAAUAGCUGAAAGAGUGGCAAGUGCCCUUGGAGGAGCAGGUGAUGAGGCAGAAACCCACUAUAUUUCAUUGUAAAUCUUCCGCUAGUAAUUGACACUUCUAAGGUAUAUGCACAUAUUCACUAACAACAAUUUAUUUAAAAGUAUAGAACAUUUACUGUUAUUUCAUGAUGUGGAAAAAUUAAGCAAUGAGAACUAAAAGUAAGUACAUCCAAAAUAGUCAAUUCAAGACAUCUGAAUAAAAAUUCCUGAGGGUCCCAAACUCAGACUUUUGAUAGCUCUCUUGAUUGAUCAGAAACAUUUUAGGUUAUAUUUGACUUAUUUUUUAUGUUCUUGAAAAAUUAUUUAUGUGCAUAAAGACACGUGAUUACAAAUUCUCUCUUGCCACCAAAGUGCAUCAACUCAAAUAUUUCUUUCUUGUUUUUAAUCUCGAAUAUUUCAGUUCAAAUAUAUGCAUAUGGUGGACAUAGCUCUUAAAAAUACAUUAUACUGGUUUCAUCAGUAUUUUAAAAGUCGAAGGAGGGUUUUUUUCCUAGUUUGUGUAUGUCAGAGGAAAUGAACCCUACACACACAAGUGGCCCAACUGAAGCGGAUCAAAAUGUGCCUGACCUACUCUGUAAUUUCAGUUCCCCCCUUGUUACAUUGAUACAAUCCACCGAUUUUAUUCUGAUUUCACCAGUUUUACAUGCACUGUGUGUUUCAUUUUAUCACAUGUAUACAUUUGUGUAAUCACUACCACAGUCAAGAUUCAAAAAGUCCUAGCAUUACAAAAUUUUUCUAAUGUUGGUCUUUUAUAAUCACAUUGUCCUCUCUAAUUCCUAAUACCACUAAUCUCUUCUCCAUUGUAUAAUAUUUUCCAUCUCAAGGAUGUUAUUUUAAAAAUUUUUGUUAGUAUAUAUUUGUCAGACAUAAAGAUCACAUUCAUCAUAGAAAAUUUUUACCUGUACAUAAUAUGUCAUAAUUCUUCUUUUUCCCCAUUUUUCUCAGUCACUUUUUUGAGAAUCUUCUCUUGAGUCUUCAUGUGGCUCAGGAUUCUGCAUUGUUCUUCUUCCAUAUCUUGAACCUCCAGCACGAAGACUCACAAGACUCUUUUGAAGGAUAUUUGUUGAACAAAAGAGUUAUAUUCCACUCUUGGCACAUCGCUGUGAAGCUUAAUUACUGUCUGUCCCUCUAUGGGGUUCUUGAUGCCUUCCCCUGGACCAUAGGCCAAACCCAAAUCCUGAUCCUCUGGCUCCGGAUCUGCCCAACUGAAUCCACCAACCUCUUUUGAAGAAGCUGGGCACUAACCGCACAGCCAGGGUAGAGCUCAGUUGCACCAAGUUACAGUUAGGAAGAACACCCAGAGUUAGCAGGAAGCCACGCUGGCAUGCACAGCCAAGGUCAAAUAUCAACGGCACCGAUUUUGAACCUUAAAUUAAAAGGCUGGAGAAGUAUAAGAGAUUAAGGCUGCAGGUUUUAUUAAGCAUCAGAGAGAAGAGGAAGUGGUAGGGAAUGAUUGACAGUGCUUCAAGGAGACAAAAGGUCAGUAUGGUAUAGCAUUGAGAUGUUGCAGACAGGCAGGGGAUGGAGUCCUUGAAUCAAAAGACUCAGAGGUUCACCAAGUAGCUUCCGAAUGCCCUUGCAUAGCAUUCAUAUUUUUAUUCUACAAUGCUCAUCAAAAGAAACUCAUGAGUCCUCAUUCAUCAUUCAACAUAUAUUUAUUAUAAGGUCAUGUGAGCAGUUAUAUCAUUGUUUAAUUCAUUCAUUCAACAAAUUUACUAUUUGGACUAGAAUCUCUAUUUUGUCACUUACUAGUCAUGUGACCUAUACAAAGUAUUUAACCUCCCUGCCCAGUUCUUUAUCAGUUAAGAGAUGAAUAGUAUUUCUGGGAUUUAUCAUAAGGAUUAAAUGAGUACUGUGAACACUAUGAGACACGUACGGAAAUAUCAACACAUUUCCUGGGCCUAUUUACUAAAUAUUGUGAAUUGGACCAUGGACCCAAAAGUUGGGUUGAAGUUCCAAAUGCAUAUUCAUGAACAGAACCAUGUUUUCAAAUAGGAUUCUUACAAAUGUAAUCAAGUUAAAAUGGGUGCAUCAGAGUGCACUUUAACCCCACAUGACUGGUGUUUUUGUAAGAGGAGUGACAGAGGGAAGACUGCCCUGUGGCUGCUGAAGACACCUGGAGAGUGAGAAGUAGAAGAGCAUCCUCCACCAGAGAUGUCAGAGUGAGCCCGACACUGCCAGCACCUUCUCCCAUAACUUCCAGCCUCCAGCACUGUGCAAGAAUUCACUUCUCCUGUGUUAAGCCACCAGUCUGAGGUAAAGACACCCCUGAUUUACCGAGGCUCGCCUUCACAACUGCAUCAAAGUGAUACGCAUUUGACAGAGUCUGUACCUCCAACUUUGAAUUCUGAUGUCCUCCUGGGUCAGUGAUGUGCAGUACAAACUCUCUCCAGAUGAUGAGAAGUGUCAGUGGCCCUGCAUACCUGUCAGCUGUGUGACCACAAGGGGAAACCAUCAGAGGUCGACUUUGCACUGCGCUGCUCAGCAUGAUGCUUGGUAGGUCAAGUGUAUUUAGUGCAUUUCCACUUAGAAUAUUUUCAACUUAUGACCAGUUCAGGGUGCUUGACCCCAUCAUAUAUUAAGAUGUAAUCCCAUUGUGAGUGAAGGAGAAUUUGUACUUUGAUAGAACACCCCUAAGAGACUAAUACCCUGAGUAGCUACUCUGCUUCGGAGACUCUUCCAGUUUCUGAUGAACAAAUGCCAAAGAGUGUGAAUUUUUUCCUAAGGAUUAUGUGAAACCAUGAGGGAAUGUAUAUGAUCGAAUGUUCAUGUGCAUGGACACAGAGAAGAUGUAGUGCAAGAAAAACGCUGCAGGGAGGAAAAGCAGUUAGGAGGUGGCUGUAGUAGUUCAAGGAAAACAAUGACUCGUGGCCUGAGAAGACAUUGAUAUAGAGAGAAAGUAGGCAUCGAGAAAAUGUUCUGAAGAUGGAAUUCUCAGUUUUGGUGAUAGACAGGGAGAAAAGUAUGAAAGGAGAGGUUUCUGGCCCUAACUGAAUGGCAGUGGAGUCACGUGCAAAGACUGAGAGUGAAGAGGCCUGGGGCCAGAAGAAGAUGCUAAGUGACGCUACACACGUUGGAGUUGAGAUACUGAAAGACAGAGGAGAGAGCCCUGUAGGCAUCUGGAUGAGUUUGGCGUAUGGGUCAAACAGAUCUGAGCAGGAAGUAUAAAUUUGGGAAUUAGCAUGUCGAUGUCAAGUGGAGCACAUUACAUCAUGAAAUCAUAUAAAGCCAGGGAAUGAGUCUUACCUUGUGAAGCAGCUUCAAUCAUGCAAAAAAAAAAAACCCAACAAAACCUUUUCAUACAUAUCCAUGCACAUUUUUCUGGAGUAGACACAGAGCUUUGUUCAGAUUCUCAAAGGCAUCAAUGACUCAAAAAGAAGCUGAGAACUACCAGCAAAAAGUAUGAGCAGAAAAGUGCCCGAGACCAAACACCAAAGCAUCUAAGUUCUAAGAUCACCUUAAAAGAGUAUCUUGACAGGCUGACCAAAUAGGUGGAAGAAAACUCUAGACUCCUAAAUCAAGGCAGCGACAAUUUUUAAGCUAUGCAUACUGGCACCAGUAUCAAAGGGCCAAAAACUCAAAAUACGAGGAGUUAUUGUGAGCUUCUCAAGGGCAAUUUAAAGUGAACUGGUUUGAGCACAAAUCUUUAGGUUGAUGGGUAAAUGACAGGUGAGAGAGGAGACCCUGAAAUUUUUAUAAAAUAAGAAAAUUUUAUCCUUUAAUUAAUUCCAAGAUUAAUAAACAGGAUUUAUUGUGUGUAUUUCAAGAUGGUAAAUUAACUCUCAUUUGUUCCUAUACCUGUUCUCCCUUUAUUUUUCUUAGAAACCCUGUUUAUUUUCCUGUUAUUUUCUUCUGUUUCUUCACUAAAAGGAAAGUCAAAGGAAAAAAAUCUACAAUGAAAAUUGUUAGGCCGACAGAGAAACUAAAAGUAGUAGGAUUCACAUUGGGUACCAAAAUACAAGCUAGUGAAUUUUAAAAAUAAUGUAUGUAUUAAAAUGUAUUUAUAUAGUGUUGUUGUAUAACACACUUCAUAUUUAUGAGUCAGCACUCAAAUGACAGUUGAGUUCAUUUAUAGAGAGACAAUCAUCAGGCUGGACAGGCAAAAAGAUGUAACUUCAAAGGCUUUGAAGAUUCCGGGCAGGAUCCUGGGUUAUAUCUAAAUCGUGUGUGUAUUUUUAUUAUCAACCAAACGAUUUCAGGGCUGCAUCCUGGUGAACUGAAAAACAAGUUGUUCAAAUUUUUGUAUUUCAAAAGAUGGUUAGGCAUCACAGAAACAAACACAUUGUUAUUGUUAAAGACAACUGUUCUUUUUUUUUUUUUUAAUAAAACUAUUCUGUAAAGGGAACGAGGAUAAUGCUGGCAAUGUGGUUUACUUUUCUUUAAAGGGACAUCUCUUCUGUGGAGUCUGUUAUGGCAGAAUUGAGAAUGCUUCCUCCCCGCCUCCACAUUUUACGAUCGUAGUUAGUGUAAAUGCUUAGGUCUGCUCACUGUUUUGCAUGUCCAGUUCUCUCUACUACUUGUUAAGGCUUGGGGGAGGCAGGGAGUGUAUGAAAUUCAUCUUUGUAUUCCCCUAUCAAUAACACAAUAACUGGAACAUUAAAGUGCAUCAAAUGAAUGAAUUUUAAUUAUUUACCCCAAUAUAUCUAAGUUCUGGUUCAUGUCUAGAUGUCCUCCCAAACCUCAAGUGCUCAGAGGUGGGGCUUUUUGGAGAUGAGUGGAUCAUGGGGCUUCUAGCUGAAUUACUGUUGGAAGGAGGGGUCUGGACAGAAGAGGCAGUCACUGUGGGCAUGGCCUGGAAGGGUCUGUCUCCCUUCCUGCUCCUCUUCCAUUUCACUUUGCUGCCAUGCCAUAACCCAUUCUCCUUGCCAUGCCAUUUGCCUUGGAGCCAGUCAAUUAUGUACUGAAAUCUGCAAACCAUGAGCCAAAAUAAACCUCUCCUCCUUUGAGUCAUGGUUGUUGGGUAUUGAGUCCCAGUGAUGGGAAAGUAAUUAAGACAAUCUAUUAAUUGCAUCUUGAGCUUUCAUUUGUGUAAUAAGAAUUGGAAUUUUUCUGUUGCUUCAUUGUUAAAGAUGACUAUUUUUGCAUAAUGCGUUUGGAACAUUAUUAAUAAGACAAUGGAAAAGAAAAUGUCACAAUUCAUUUGAAAUGCAAAGAGCCAAUAAACAGCAGUUAAAUAACAGACAUUAAAUGUUGCACAUAUGUCAAGUAAUAACAAGAAUUCUUUUCCUAGAAUUUGAAACAUUGUUAAGUGCAAUUGGUAUGACAUUAGAAUUUUUUAAGGCUAACACAGGGUCUGAUGUAGAUUAAGAGUUAUGUGCAUUAAAAGAGGAGAG
RNAcentral lists this long non-coding RNA (9124 nucleotides) under Heterocephalus glaber (naked mole-rat). RNAcentral's name for it is "lncRNA (ENSHGLG00100036020.1)". The record is from RNAcentral. Lineage: Eukaryota; Metazoa; Chordata; Mammalia; Rodentia; Bathyergidae.